RNAcentral lists this non-coding RNA (2572 nucleotides) under Pan troglodytes (chimpanzee). Lineage: Eukaryota; Metazoa; Chordata; Mammalia; Primates; Hominidae. The record is from RNAcentral.
UAUUUUCCUUCUGUUUUCACCCAUUCGGGCACAAUCUGGCGCCAUCGUCCUUCUUGUGAGGCCAAGCCUGAAAAUGCGAAGCAGAGAGGCAGGACCAAAAUUGAGGCGAAUCCGGGAACCUGCCAAUGGGUCUCCGGGUGCGGUCUCUGAAACUGGAGGAUAUCGGGAGGAAAGGCUCUCCGAUGCGGAGAUAAUGGGGAAGCUCUUGGCAUGGUUGGCUGUAGGUAUGUGAUACCGGAGGAGCAGGAGUCAAAUAGGAUACGCCGACUUUUAAUUCAAGGAACCCUUUUCUGAAACACUUUGCCACAAUGAAGGAAAUAAGAUUACAGCCGAAGAUACAUAUUAAGGAAUAAAAUUGAAGGGUGUUUUUCUUAGAGAACAUCAUUUGUCAUAUUUAUUUGAUCAAGAAGUUGAAGAUUUAUGUAAUAAGGUAUGGGACACAUUUAUCUUGAUAAAAGAACACAGAAAAGGUCAGGUAUGAGCAGAAAAUUGACAUUUAUUUCAGCCUAAUGUGGAUACUGUACUCUGAAUUAAAAAUUUCUUUUCCUUACUCUUCCAGCUUUUAAAGAUAAGUAUUAUUUCAAAAUAGUAUUUUUUUUAAUUAAUAGAUUCAAUUCAGGAAAGGCAUUGGAGGGGGUGGAGCUUUUAACUUUGACAGUCUCACUCUGUUGCCCAGGCUGGAGUGCAGCGGCGCAAUCUCUGCUCACUGCAAUCUCUGCCUCCUGGGUUCAAAUAGUUAUUGUGGCCCAGCUUCCCAAGUGGCUGGGAUUAGAGGCGCAUGCCACCACACCCAGCUAAUUUUUUUUAUUAAGUAGAGACCAUGUUUUGCCAUGUUGGCCAGACUGGUCUCAAACUUCCAGCCACCAACCUCAGCCUCCCAAAGUGCUGGGAUUAUAGUCAUAAGCCACCACACCUGGCUGUUGGUUAUCUUUUCUUAGAAAUAAUGAUAUAAUCUUUUCAGCACCUGAUAUUCUUAAAGAUCCAGGGUUUACAAAUGACUGUUAGAUAUGCCAAGGAUGACUAGCCUAUAACUUAAGGAACUGUUCAGGAACAGUAGAAAAGAAGGUGAUAGGAAACUGGGAAUCUUAAAUCUAAUACUAGUUCUGUCAUGAAUUAGGCUUGUUAUUGUAGUUGUUUCUCAAAUUUAAGAAAAUAUGAGGGGUCUUGAAAAAGUGCAUGGAAAAUGCAUAUCAUGAAAUAACUAUGCAUGGAUUUCAAAAUUUUUGGACCAAAAUAAACUCCUACUAACUUGUUAUAACAUGUCUGAACAGGAUCUAGUUUGAAGCACUAAGAAGAAUAAGACAUCAGUUUGAAAAGAGGCUCUAUCAGAAUAACACGAAUUCUGCUAAAAUUGAAGCAAGAACAAACAUCAAAUAUAUGUUGACACUUGGGUGGAAGAAUGGUGAACUAAUUGAUGCUUUAUGAAAAGUCGAUAGGGACAAUGCUCCAAAGAAAUCAGUUUACAAAUGGAUAACUCGUUUUAAGAAGGCAUAAGGUAAUGUUGAAGAAGAAGCCCACAGUGGCAGAUCAUCCACAUCAGUUUGUGAGAAAAAAGUUAGUUCAUGGCGUAAUUGAAGAAAACCAACAAUUAACAGCAGAAACAACAGCCAACACCAUAGACAUCUCAGUUGGUUCACCUUACACAAUUUUGACUGGAAAAGUUCAGCAAACUUUAUACCUGAUAGGUACCAAAACCAUUGCACCCAGAUCAGCUACAGACAAGAAUAGAGCUUUCAAUGGAAAUUUUAAAUAAGUGGGAUCAGGAUCUUGAAGCCUUUCAUUGAAAAAUUGUAACAGGAGAUGAAACAUUGUCUUCAGCGCAAUCCUGAAGACAAAACACAAAGCAGUGGUUACCAAGAUAAGUAGUUCAGUUAAAGCACAAGAGGACUGGUUGAGAGCAAAGGUCAUGACAACAGCUUUUGAAUGCUCAAGGCAUUUUGCUUGUUGACUUUCUGUAGGGCCAAAGAAUGGUAACGUGCUUAUCAUGGGAGUGUUUUGAGAAACUUAGUCAAAGCUUCAGCAGAAAAAUCCCCGAGAAAGACCAGAGAGUUCUUCACCACAACAAUGUUCCUGCUAAUCCCUCUCAUCAAACAAGGGCAUUUUGCAAGAGUUUUGAUGGGAAAUCACUAGGCAUCCACCCUACAGUCCUGGUUUGGCACCUUCUGACUUUUUGUUUCCUAAUCUUAAAAAAAUUUUUAAGGGCAGUACAUUUUUCUCAAGUUAAUGUAUAAAGAAACUGCAUUGAUGUAGAUAAAUUCCCAGAACUCUCAGUUCUUUAGGGAUGGACUAAAUAGCUGGUAUCAUCACUUACAAAAGUGUCUUGAAUGCUAUAGAGCUAAUGUUCAGAAAUAUAGUUUAUAUUUUUUAUCUUUUAACCAUUUUUCCACAAACUUUUUGAAGUCUCCUUGAAUAUGUACCAUUUAUAAAGGGGAAAAAUUCUGUGACUACUCAUGUUGACUUAAUGCUGACUUAAUUUUCUGUUUUGUAAAUAUAUACAAACAAGUUGAUACAAAUUUUGUUUAUAGCCCUUAAACAAAUUUGUGAAAUAAAUGCAUUCAGAAACAAACUAAAA